RNAcentral lists this unclassified non-coding RNA (336 nucleotides) under soil metagenome. RNAcentral describes it as "partial contains 5.8S ribosomal RNA, internal transcribed spacer 2, and large subunit ribosomal RNA". The stretch from base 1 to 120 matches the Rfam family "5.8S ribosomal RNA", at positions 35 to 154 of the family's 154-position model. The record is from RNAcentral.
GAUGAAGAACGUAGCGAAAUGCGAUAAGUAAUGCGAAUUGCAGAAUUCAGUGAAUCAUCGAAUCUUUGAACGCACAUUGCGCCCGCCAGUAUUCUGGCGGGCAUGCCUGUUCGAGCGUCAUUUCAACCAUCAAGCCCCAGGCUUGUGUUGGGGUCCUGCGGCUGCCGCAGGCCCUGAAAAACAGUGGCGGGCUCGCUGUCACACCGAGCGUAGUAGCAUACAUCUCGCUCUGGGCGUGCUGCGGGUUCCGGCCGUUAAACCACCUUCAUAACCCAAGGUUGACCUCGGAUCAGGUAGGAAGACCCGCUGAACUUAAGCAUAUCAAUAAGCGGAGGA